UGUCCGCUUUACCUCCCACGGUCACGCCAGCGUCUACCACCUCGAACGUAACUCCCACCACUGAAAAAGAUGAAGCUCGAUUUGAAGCAGUGAAAGGCGAGGACUCGGCAAGCAUCCCGCUGGUAAUUGGUGUCGCAGUGGCCACACCGUUGGUCACCGUUAUUUUGGUGGUGGUCAUCAUACUAGUAUUUCUUAGAAGACGAAGAACACUGCCACCUGACCCACUAAACUUACAUGUUCCUCACCUCAACCCAGCGUUUUCCGACGGUCCGGCACCUGCCCCGCCUAAAUCACCUAAAGGACAACUUCGUGUGUCAACCAACUCGGACUAUGACACAA
This is a long non-coding RNA of Lingula anatina, 339 nucleotides long. NCBI's taxonomy places the organism in Eukaryota, Metazoa, Brachiopoda, Lingulata, Lingulida, Lingulidae. The record is from RefSeq and is a predicted model, not a curated record.